AGAGUUUGAUCAUGGCUCAGGGUGAACGCUAGCUACAGGCUUAACACAUGCAAGUCGAGGGGAAACGACAUCGAAAGCUUGCUUUUGAUGGGCGUCGACCGGCGCACGGGUGAGUAACGCGUAUCCAACCUGCCCACCACUUGGGGAUAACCUUGCGAAAGUAAGACUAAUACCCAAUGACGCCUCUAGAAGACAUCUGAAGGAGAUUAAAGAUUUAUCGGUGAUGGAUGGGGAUGCGUCUGAUUAGCUUGUUGGCGGGGUAACGGCCACCAAGGCGACGAUCAGUAGGGGUUCUGAGAGGAAGGUCCCCCANAUUGGAACUGAGACACAGUCCAAACUCCUACGGGAGGCA
RNAcentral lists this ribosomal RNA (352 nucleotides) under uncultured bacterium. Its description in RNAcentral is "bacterial SSU rRNA". It matches the Rfam family "Bacterial small subunit ribosomal RNA", at positions 8 to 350 of the family's 1533-position model. The record is from RNAcentral.